Molecule: long non-coding RNA, 1376 nt
Filed under: Homo sapiens (human)
Lineage: Eukaryota; Metazoa; Chordata; Mammalia; Primates; Hominidae
Description: HSALNT0392923
Source: RNAcentral
CGCUCGCGGCUUGCCGCGGCCCGGAGCGCAGCCCAGCUGUCAAGGGAACGGGUGUGGAAGGAGGCGGGGCAAAGGUCCGCGGGACCGACGCGAUGCGCAGCGCAGGGCUGGAAGCGCAGUCCUCUGUCACCUUGAGCUCCGAGUACGGAACUAGAGAAACUGCUCUGGCAGCGCAUCACACUCUUCCAAGUGGGAAUGCCCAGUGGAAGGGACAAGUAGUAGUAGGGAAGCGCCCACUCACUACAACUCCCGGCAUGCCCCCUGCGGGGCGGGGCCUUCGCCGAGGGCCUGGCCCUUUGCGGCCCUGCGCGGUGCUUGCUGGGAACUGUAGUAACGGCUGUUUGAGGGUGGAAAGGAGAGCUAGGGCUGCAUUCCCCGUGGUAUCCAAUUCAGCCUCUCCUGCUUCCUGAGUUCUCUCCAGUGAUGCAAAAUCAGAUAAGGAAACACACCUCGUCUAGGAAGCAAGGGGAAAUAUGACAAAGCACACAGAAACUAGAAAUAAAAGUCAAAAAUCUACACCAUCGAACCCAAAUAAUCUUCUUCAGUUUUAAUGAUGGACCCAAACCAAAACAGUUCUCACGUUCACAUGUUAGAAACUAACUCCAUCUGCAUCACUUACGAUAGGCUGUAGUAAACUGAACCAAAUAAGAAAAAUCCCAGCAGCAAACUUGCUGACAAAACUUUAGCCGAUUGCCAGGGUAGUCCGGUACAGGAACGUCAAAUGAAACCAAUGUGCUGUAAAUAAACCUUUAUUGUAUUUUGUGAUACGGUUUGAAUUUAAAUCCCUAGGUAGCGCCACGAAACAAAAGACAUAUUGAUGCUACUGCCAUGGAGCAGCACAGUUUGUCUAGAAAAUAAACGAGACGAAACAGCAGUCUAGAAGUAGGCACCAAAUCCAAGUUUUCAUGUGCGAUCCAGGUAUUAGGGUCCAUCCAGGAACAGCCUGCUGGAAUUGCUAGCCUGGCAUUCACAGAAGAUUGUGCCACCCACGAGGAAUGUGUUUUCAGCCCUGAAAUUCCUGGGAGUGAGAGGUGAAGCCAGCUGGAUUUCUGGGUUGGGUGGGGACUUGGAGAACUUUUCUUACAAGAGGAUUGUAAAAUGCACCAAUCAGCACUCUGUAGCUAGCUAGAGUUUUGUAAAAUGCACCAAUCAGUGCUCUGUAAAAACGCACCUAUCAGCACUCUGUAGGUAGCUAGAGGUUUGUAAAAUGGACCAAUCAGCACUCUGUAAAAUGGACCAAUCAGCAGGGCAUGGGCAGGGACAAAUAAGCCAAUAAAAACUGGCCACCCCAGCCUGCAGGGGCAGCCUGCUUGGGUCCUUUUCCACAUUGUGGAAGCUUUGUUCUUUUGCUCUUCACAAUAAAUCUUGCUGCUGCU